AAGGCCCAGAAAGCCAGGAUGUUGGCUUAGAAGCAGCCAUCAUUUAAAGAAAGCGUAAUAGCUCACUGGUCGAGUCGGCCUGCGCGGAAGAUGUAACGGGGCUAAACCAUGCACCGAAGCUGCGGCAGCGAACGUAUCACUUAAAGCGAUUCAGCGGGUUACGAUUGACGGAGCGAAGCGACGUCAAAGCGUAUACAAAGUCGAGUCGGUUUAAGGAUACGUUCGUUGGGUAGGGGAGCGUUCUGUAAGCCUGCGAAGGUGGCCUGUGAGGGUUGCUGGAGGUAUCAGAAGUGCGAAUGCUGACAUAAGUAACGAUAAAGCGGGUGAAAAGCCCGCUCGCCGGAAGACCAAGGGUUCCUGUCCAACGUUAAUCGGGGCAGGGUGAGUCGACCCCUAAGGCGAGGCCGAAAGGCGUAGUCGAUGGGAAACGGGUUAAUAUUCCCGUACUUGGUGUUACUGCGAAGGGGGGACGGAGAAGGCUAUGUUGGCCGGGCGACGGUUGUCCCGGUUUAAGCGUGUAGGUGUGUGUUCCAGGUAAAUCCGGUUCACUUUAACACUGAGGCGUGAUGACGAGGCACUACGGUGCUGAAGCAACAAAUGCCCUGCUUCCAGGAAAAGCCUCUAAGCAUCAGGUAACAUCAAAUCGUACCCCAAACCGACACAGGUGGUCAGGUAGAGAAUACCAAGGCGCUUGAGAGAACUCGGGUGAAGGAACUAGGCAAAAUGGUGCCGUAACUUCGGGAGAAGGCACGCUGACACGUAGGUGAAGUGAUUUACUCAUGGAGCUGAAGUCAGUCGAAGAUACCAGCUGGCUGCAACUGUUUAUUAAAAACACAGCACUGUGCAAACACGAAAGUGGACGUAUACGGUGUGACGCCUGCCCGGUGCCGGAAGGUUAAUUGAUGGGGUCAGCGCAAGCGAAGCUCCUGAUCGAAGCCCCGGUAAACGGCGGCCGUAACUAUAACGGUCCUAAGGUAGCGAAAUUCCUUGUCGGGUAAGUUCCGACCUGCACGAAUGGCGUAAUGAUGGCCAGGCUGUCUCCACCCGAGACUCAGUGAAAUUGAACUCGCUGUGAAGAUGCAGUGUACCCGCGGCAAGACGGAAAGACCCCGUGAACCUUUACUAUAGCUUGACACUGAACAUUGAGCCUUGAUGUGUAGGAUAGGUGGGAGGCUUUGAAGCGUGGACGCCAGUCUGCGUGGAGCCGACCUUGAAAUACCACCCUUUAAUGUUUGAUGUUCUAACGUGGACCCGUAAUCCGGGUUGCGGACAGUGUCUGGUGGGUAGUUUGACUGGGGCGGUCUCCUCCUAAAGAGUAACGGAGGAGCACGAAGGUUGGCUAAUCCUGGUCGGACAUCAGGAGGUUAGUGCAAUGGCAUAAGCCAGCUUGACUGCGAGCGUGACGGCGCGAGCAGGUGCGAAAGCAGGUCAUAGUGAUCCGGUGGUUCUGAAUGGAAGGGCCAUCGCUCAACGGAUAAAAGGUACUCCGGGGAUAACAGGCUGAUACCGCCCAAGAGUUCAUAUCGACGGCGGUGUUUGGCACCUCGAUGUCGGCUCAUCACAUCCUGGGGCUGAAGUAGGUCCCAAGGGUAUGGCUGUUCGCCAUUUAAAGUGGUACGCGAGCUGGGUUUAGAACGUCGUGAGACAGUUCGGUCCCUAUCUGCCGUGGGCGCUGGAGAACUGAGGGGGGCUGCUCCUAGUACGAGAGGACCGGAGUGGACGCAUCACUGGUGUUCGGGUUGUCAUGCCAAUGGCACUGCCCGGUAGCUAAAUGCGGAAGAGAUAAGUGCUGAAAGCAUCUAAGCACGAAACUUGCCCCGAGAUGAGUUCUCCCUGAGACUUAAAGUCUCCUGAAGGAACGUUGAAGACGACGACGUUGAUAGGCCGGGUGUGUAAGCGCAGCGAUGCGUUGAGCUAACCGGUACUAAUGAACCGUGAGGCUUAACCUU
RNAcentral lists this ribosomal RNA (1949 nucleotides) under Salmonella enterica subsp. enterica serovar Infantis. RNAcentral's name for it is "partial 23S ribosomal RNA". It matches the Rfam family "Bacterial large subunit ribosomal RNA", at positions 1080 to 2925 of the family's 2925-position model. Lineage: Bacteria; Pseudomonadati; Pseudomonadota; Gammaproteobacteria; Enterobacterales; Enterobacteriaceae. The record is from RNAcentral.